AUUGAACGCUGGCGGCAGGCCUAACACAUGCAAGUCGAGCGGAUGAAGGGAGCUUGCUCCUGGAUUCAGCGGCGGACGGGUGAGUAAUGCCUAGGAAUCUGCCUGGUAGUGGGGGAUAACGUCCGUAAACGGGCGCUAAUACCGCAUACGUCCUGAGGGAGAAAGUGGGGGAUCUUCGGACCUCACGCUAUCAGAUGAUCCUAGGUCGGAUUAGCUAGUUGGUGGGGUAAAGGCCUACCAAGGCGACGAUCCGUAACUGGUCUGAGAGGAUGAUCAGUCACAAUGGAACUGAGACACGGUCCAGACUCCUACGGGAGGCAGCAGUGGGGAAUAUUGGACAAUGGGCGAAAGCCUGAUCCAGCCAUGCCGCGUGUGUGAAGAAGGUAUUCGGAUUGUAAAGCACUUUAAGUUGGGAGGAAGGGCAGUAAGUUAAUAACUUGCUGUUUUGACGUUACCAACAGAAUAAGCACCGGCUAACUUCGUG
RNAcentral lists this ribosomal RNA (484 nucleotides) under uncultured bacterium. RNAcentral describes it as "partial 16S ribosomal RNA". It matches the Rfam family "Bacterial small subunit ribosomal RNA", at positions 30 to 507 of the family's 1533-position model. The record is from RNAcentral.